This 287-nucleotide long non-coding RNA is filed under the name Cyanistes caeruleus (blue tit). RNAcentral's name for it is "lncRNA (ENSCCEG00000001629.1)". Lineage: Eukaryota; Metazoa; Chordata; Aves; Passeriformes; Paridae. The record is from RNAcentral.
UGCCUGCUUGUUUCCUGGCCCUAUGUGUUACCUGACUGCUGCAGACAGGCAGCUCAGCAUGAAAACCCUCACCAAGGCUGGACACAGGGACUGAGCCUCCCCUGGACUUGGAACCCUCCUGUGUUUUCCAUUUUCACCUGCCACUGCUCACCCUACCAAGCUCUGAAUUUCUGUGACCUUGCUUGGCAGGAAAAUCAGAGUCUCUGCAGGUGGCCAGCUGCCAGGGACAUUCAUUUUUUCCAAUUAGUGGAAAACAGAGGGUGUUACCUCUACCCAUGAUUUAAAAA